RNAcentral lists this ribosomal RNA (501 nucleotides) under uncultured bacterium. Its description in RNAcentral is "partial 16S ribosomal RNA". It matches the Rfam family "Bacterial small subunit ribosomal RNA", at positions 30 to 523 of the family's 1533-position model. The record is from RNAcentral.
AUUGAACGCUGGCGGCAUGCCUUACACAUGCAAGUCGAACGGCAGCACGGGUGCUUGCACCUGGUGGCGAGUGGCGAACGGGUGAGUAAUAUAUCGGAACGUACCUUAUUGUGGGGGAUAACGCAGCGAAAGCUGUGCUAAUACCGCAUAAUCCCUUAGGGGGAAAGCGGGGGACCGUAAGGCCUCGCGCAAUUAGAGCGGCCGAUACCUGAUUAGCUAGUUGGUGAGGUAAAGGCUCACCAAGGCGACGAUCAGUGGCUGGUCUGAGAGGACGAUCAGCCACACUGGGACUGAGACACGGCCCAGACUCCUACGGGAGGCAGCAGUGGGGAAUUUUGGACAAUGGGGGCAACCCUGAUCCAGCAAUGCCGCGUGAGUGAAGAAGGCCUUCGGGUUGUAAAGCUCUUUUGUCAGGGAAGAAACAGCAGCUCUAACACAGUAUGCGAAUGACGGUACCUGAAGAAUAAGCACCGGCUAACUACGAGCCAGCCGCCGCAGUAA